AGUGAACGCUGGCGGUAGGCCUAACACAUGCAAGUCGAACGGCAGCACAGUAAGAGCUUGCUCUUACGGGUGGCGAGUGGCGGACGGGUGGGGAAUACAUCGGAAUCUACUUUUUCGUGGGGGAUAACGUAGGGAAACUUACGCUAAUACCGCAUACGACCUACGGGUGAAAGCAGGGGAUCUUCGGACCUUGCGCGAUUGAAUGAGCCGAUGUCGGAUUAGCUAGUUGGCGGGGUAAAGGCCCACCAAGGCGACGAUCCGUAGCUGGUCUGAGAGGAUGAUCAGACACACUGGAACUGAGACACGGUCCAGACUCCUACGGGAGGCAGCAGUGGGGAAUAUUGGACAAUGGGCGCAAGCCUGAUCCAGCCAUACCGCGUGGGUGAAGAAGGCCUUCGGGUUGUAAAGCCCUUUUGUUGGGAAAGAAAAGCAGCAGGUUAAUACCCCGCUGUUCUGACGGUACCCAAAGAAUAAGCACCGGCUAACUUCGUG
This 492-nucleotide ribosomal RNA is filed under the name uncultured bacterium. RNAcentral describes it as "partial 16S ribosomal RNA". It matches the Rfam family "Bacterial small subunit ribosomal RNA", at positions 29 to 507 of the family's 1533-position model. The record is from RNAcentral.